UCUUUCGGGGUUCCUGAUUCAUGAAAGAGUCUGCGAGACAUUCUGCAGGACACAGCAGAAAAUGACUGAACUGUCUUUGAAAUUUCCUGCUUCAUGGAAAUGUCUCUGGAUACCAUGGGCCUGUAGGCCGAAGAUGGAUGCCCCAACGGUACAGAGGAACUUUGGGUGACUGUCCAGGCAGCGAGAUGUCUCUGUCAUUUCUAGAGUUUUCUUAUUUCUUGUUUACUUAGGUAAUAUUAUAUCCUUCUGGAGUCUUUGAUGGAGUUGAAGAAUGAAUAGUUAUAGUUUUCCUUAGUUAUGAUAAGAGAUAAAAUAGAUAUAAAUAUUGUAACUGUAAUUCUUACUUGAUAACUGUUUUGUUAUAUGUAAUUUUACUAUGCUAAAGUUAAAGCCUUUCUUUUUUGUUUAAACGGAAAAAGGGGAAAUGAUGUGGGAAUGAUUUCUUACUAAUAAAGAAACUGCCUUGGCCCAUUUUAUUGGAUAGAAAAUUAGGUAGGCGGAGUAGACAGAGGAGAAUGCUGGGAAAAAGAAGCUGUGUGAGGAGUCGCCAUGGUUCUCCCGCUCCAGACAGACGCAGGUUAAGAUCCUCCCUGGUAAGCCAGCUCGUGGGCUACACAGAAUAUUAGAAAUGGGUUAGAACAAUAUGUAAGAGCUAGCCAUAAGGAACUGGAACUAUCCGGGCCAGGCAGUGUUUGAAAGAAUACAGUUUCCGUGUAAUUAUUUCUGGGCAUAAGCUAGCCAUGCGGGCGGCCGGGUGCCGGGGACGCAGCCCUGCCGCCGCUCCUAUUUCAACAGAUGGCGCCCAGACGUGAUGGCUAAAUCCACUUAAAAACCUGAGAAGGCUUAAAAAUAAGGGAGAGAGAGUUUAACACAGAUUUUUGCUGUUUUGUUGGUGGCGUUCUGUAGAGAGAUUCCUGAUUCAGCAACAGCAAAAAAAAAAAAAAAAAAAAAGCCGCGUCAUUUUAAAGCGCUGCUUCCUGGAGCUAUGCUGCCAGCGUGAACUCUGGCUUUAAAGCAUUUCAAGGCUUUUAUGGGACUGGAUGUUUGUGUUCCCGCUUGGGAUCGGAGGAGAGUGCUCUGAGACUGUGCCGAUGGCUCAGCGCUUCCCGCCUGCACCUGGGCAGACGGCAGAAUCAGGCUUAGGCAGGCGGAAGAGCAUGGCGGAUUCCUGCCGCCAUACAGAGACGCAUUUUCAGACUGCGCAGUGCUCUGCGUGUCAGAUUUGGCUGUAACUUGGAAGAAAAGAGUUUCUGUGCUGCACACUCAGUCUCAGAGUUAAACUGCUGAUUGCGGCUCCAAUGUGGACUGCUGUGUGCCUGGAACUGUUGUGGCUCAGGGGCACCAAAUGGCUCUGAGGCAGGAGCAGCUUGGCUCAGCUCUGCCAUGCUGAUCUGUGCUGGUCUCAGGCAGGAACUACCGUAAUUACCUUAAAACCGUGCAGUUAAGGUUUAGACUGGGCAGGACACAGGCAGUACCGUAUUACCUGUACAUGGUGCAACUUAAGUUUUUAAGAACUGUUUAACAUUUUAAGAAAUGCUCCUGGAUAGUGAAAAAAUUACAGAUUCACAAUAAAACAGAUUCAGACAGACCACUAAAUGGAUCACAAUGUUGGAUGAGUGUACGUAGGCUUGAGAGAGAAAAAAAAAAUAUAGAGAGAAAGAAUAAAGUUAAUGCCCUUAAAAAAAAGGGGAUAAA
Long non-coding RNA from Alexandromys fortis (reed vole), 1695 nucleotides. RefSeq lists it as uncharacterized. The transcript is spliced from 2 exons. Lineage: Eukaryota; Metazoa; Chordata; Mammalia; Rodentia; Cricetidae. The record is from RefSeq and is a predicted model, not a curated record.